Long non-coding RNA from Thunnus maccoyii (southern bluefin tuna), 442 nucleotides. RefSeq lists it as uncharacterized. The transcript has 2 exons. The record is from RefSeq and is a predicted model, not a curated record. NCBI's taxonomy places the organism in Eukaryota, Metazoa, Chordata, Actinopteri, Scombriformes, Scombridae.
AUAAUAUGUUAAUUAGUGAACUUUUUUACUGGCAGAGCUGUUUCUCCCUGACAAACACAAAAGAUAGAAGAGUCAUAACAACUUCUCUCAUAUAAACAGGAUUUAUUUGCAAUAUAUACACAUUAUCAACUGUACAUGAGGAAAGAUAAUUCAUUGUUAAAUUAGAUUUUGGAAACCUUACAACCUAAAUAGAUGAGAAAUAUCAAUUCUGACAAGAGCUUGGAACUCCUCAUCAUCACAAUAAGCUGCAGGGACAGUCCUCAUGAGGGACGACUGUCAGACGACUGUGUUGUCUGGAAACAGUCUUCCUCAGAUCAGGCAGAACUUCAUCAUGCAGAUGUUGUUCUCCUCUCUCACACUCUCAUCCUGCUGGGUUCUCUCAGGUGAAAAGGUCAGAGGUCUGGUUGGAUGUGCAGGAAAAAGCAGCUUCAUGAACCCAGAA